Long non-coding RNA from Lagenorhynchus albirostris (white-beaked dolphin), 2649 nucleotides. RefSeq lists it as uncharacterized. Lineage: Eukaryota; Metazoa; Chordata; Mammalia; Artiodactyla; Delphinidae. The transcript has 3 exons. The record is from RefSeq and is a predicted model, not a curated record.
AGGGGCUGCCCAGGCCCCGCUCCUGGAGCCCUUCAACUCUGUGCCAUAAUUCCCGGCACCCAUGACCCCCAGGUCCCAAGACCAGGCAGUGCCCAUCUUCCUCCCCGCUUUAACUCGGAUUCCGGCAGCCAACGGAGAAAAGUCUGCCUGAGCAGCGGCUGAAUCCCCAACUCUGCCACUUUGCCGGCGCUUGUCUUACCGAAGGAGUCGUCUUGGUCCAGGAGGGAGUCGGGCUCCAUGGCGUGUGCGCCCCCAGCCCCUGGCCCCGCCUGAUUUAUGAACCGAGGCUGUCUCCAUGAGCGUCUGGGUUUCUCCUUUUGUAUUCCAUCUGGCGGCUUUUCCAACUAGAUGACUGGGUAUUCCUGCAAGCAGGCCCCUUUCCAGCCCUCGCCUUCAUACAGUACAUUUAAAGUAGCAGUAACCUCUUUUUCCUCCCCCCGCAGCCUGGCUGGAAACAUUAGAAGGGACCGAGGCAGCGAGAUGUCUAAAAUAGGAAGACGCCGGGACGAUUGGCCUGGCUGCCUGCGACGCUGGCUGUGGGGAUCUGGCCCCGCUGUGCAGAUGGAAAAGCUAAGAGACAUUUCCUGCGGUGUGGGGGAUGCAGAAAUUGACUCAUCCAUCCAUUCAGUCAGACACUAAACAUUUUUCUGGAACAUCUACUCGGCGCCAGACACCGUGCCAGGUGCUGGGUUUGCAGUGGGGAGCGAGUGGCGGUGUCUGGUCUCUUGGAGCUCACAGGUAAACAGCAGGAGAAAACUUUCUGCUCCUCACGAAAUCACUGGAACAUUAGAAGCUGAGCCUCCGUGACCAGAUUUCUGAAGACAUGGAUCUGCAGCUGAGGCAGAGGGGACAUCAAGAGGACAGAGAUGGGGGAAUUCCCUGGUGGUCCAGUGGUUAGGAUUACGCGGUUCCACUGUAAGGGGCACAGGUUCGAUAACCAGUUGGGGAAACUAAGAUGCUGCAUACCUUGGGGUGCAGCCCAAAAAAAAAAAUCGAGUAUCUCUCAAUAAAAAAAUUUUUUAAAAAUGAGGAGGGGACUUCCCUGGUGGCACAGUGGUUAAGAAUCCGCCUGCCAAUGCAGGGGACACAGGUUCGAGCCCUGGUCCGGGAAGAUCCCACAUGCUGCGGAGCAACUAAGCCCGUGCACCACAACUACUAAGCCUGCGUUCUAGAGCCCGCAAGCCACAACUACUGAGCCCAUGUGCCACAACUACCGAAGCCCGCACGCCUAGAGCCCAUGCACCGCAACAAAGAAAAGCCACCGCAGUGAGAAGCCCGCGCACCGCAACGAAAGAGUAGCCCCCGCUCGCCGCAACUAGAGAAAGGCUGUGCACAGCAACGAAGACCCAACACGGCCAAAAAUAAAUUAAAAAAAAAAAAAAUGAGGAGGGAGAUGGGAGACAGACAGAUAAGCCAGGAGGCUGGCAGGAGGGCCCAGGCCAGGGGUGGCAGGGAGGGAAAUACCCACCUGGCCCCCUUCCCAGCGACCCACUGCUGCCCAGCUGCUCCCAGAGCAGCCAGUGGCUGCUGACGUGGUUGGCCCAGCCUGACAGAGUGGGCCCUCCUCUGUCACCCUUCACCACCCGUCCUUGGAUGACAGAUCCCAGCUCCCAGCCUCCCGCUGCCUUAACUACAGGGAGGUCAGGCCCUACCCAGGCAGCUGCAGGCACGAGGCUCCCUGGAUCUCUGAUUCGGUGGGUGUGGAGGGCAGGCUGCAGCGGGGCGGGGGGCAUCUAGGAGUGGUGGAUCGGGCCCCUGGACCACCAGUCAACAGGUGAGGUCAGGCCCAGUUACACCACCACCACUUCCCCAGCUCUCUGGGACCCCAGGGGUUCUGGGAGUUCCAGGAUUCCAGGAGCUAUGGGGGCCCAUUUGCACACAGGCACUGUGGUCCUUUUCUAGUUAUAGUGUGACGGGGCUCCUCUCCAGAACACAGGCCAACGUGGGCUUGCGUCCACUUUGGAGCAUCCUGGCUGCUUUCUCAGGUGAGGACAGACAAGCCUGCCUGGGUCCAAAUCCCAGCUCCCCAUUUACCAGCUGGGUGACCCUUGGCAAGUGACUUUACUUCUCAGUGCCCCAGUUUCCUCAUCUGUAAUCAGAAGGAGAGUCCCUGGAGGGCUGCUGGGAGAAUUAGUGAGCUAAUAUGGGUAGAGCUUAGAACAGGGCCAGAGGAAGCGCGCCGUAAAGCUAAAAUCGAGAGCCCUCAGCCCUCAGCACAGCCUUCCAGGCCCUCCUGCGUGGUCUGGGCCCCCUCAUCUCAUCUCCCUCCCCCCCACCCCCAGACCUAUUGGCCUUUUCUUUGAACUGCCUCUCAGACUCUUACCCCAAGGCCUGGCCAUUUCCUCUGCUUGGAGUGAGAGUCCCCCAAAUCUUCACCCACUUCUGUGUUCAGGUCUCCGACCACCUCUCUGAGAUAUCAUGCCCCCUGCCGCUCCCCUCACCCCACCCCUGGCUUUAGUUUUCUUCCCGGCCCUUUGGACAGCUAUCACCUGACAUGAUAUUAUAUAUUUAUUUGCCUGUUAUCUGCCAGCCCCUGCUUUCACGCAAGCUCAGCGCUGUACCCCCAGCACUCGUCAGAACGGUCCCCAACGGGUCCAACUGAAGCGGACCCCCAAUAAACGCAUGUGGAAUGAAACCCCCAAUAAACGC